This is a non-coding RNA of Otolemur garnettii (small-eared galago), 296 nucleotides long. The record is from Rfam. Lineage: Eukaryota; Metazoa; Chordata; Mammalia; Primates; Galagidae.
GCUGGACUCGGUGGCACGUGCCUAUAGUCCCAGCAACUUGGGAGGCUGAGACAGGAGAACUGCUUGAAUCCAGGAGUUCUGGGCUGUAGUGCGCUGUGCCAAUUGGGUGUCCACACUAAGUUAGUCGAUAUGGUGACCUUCCAGAAGCAGGGGCCACCAGAUUGCUUAAGGAGAGGUGAACCAGCCUGGGUUGGAAAUGGAGCAGGUCAAAACUCCUGUGCUGAUGAGUAGUGGGGUCGUGCCUGUGAAUAGCCACUGCACUCCAGCCUGGGCAACAUACCAAGACCCCGUCUCUU